This is a long non-coding RNA of Microtus oregoni (creeping vole), 474 nucleotides long. RefSeq lists it as uncharacterized. The transcript has 3 exons. The record is from RefSeq and is a predicted model, not a curated record. NCBI's taxonomy places the organism in Eukaryota, Metazoa, Chordata, Mammalia, Rodentia, Cricetidae.
GCGUCUGGGCAUCACUGGGCUCAGCUUAGAGGUGGGUUUCGGAGAAGUCUCUGGCGGAACGCGGCGGCAAAGCAUCGCUCACUCUACAAGUCUUUCCAUUUCUGAGAGCGAAAAGAACUUAAGCGGGCGGCACGCGAAGUGUAGAUUGCUUUGUAGUAUUUCAAAGCAGCGCUGACCAUGGGCAGAGGAGCGAAUAUGUGCAACAGAAACUACUCAAUGGACCUGUGCUGGGUAUCUGACCUCCAGAAGGGCAGUGUCUGCUCUCACUCUGACUGCUGUCCUGCUGGAGUCACCAGCCUCAUCUUUCACUGUCCUGCACAGAGCAUGCCUCAGGACAGUAGGCAGCAAUAACCCAGCAUCUCCACCUGUGCAAUAAUUAACCACCUCGUGCUGCUCCAGCUUCCAUGAACUCCUCAUUCUAGGCACCCACAGGCAUCCCAGUACCUUACUCUCCUAGUUCUGAUCAAGAUUCUC